This 723-nucleotide ribosomal RNA is filed under the name uncultured cyanobacterium. RNAcentral's name for it is "bacterial SSU rRNA". It matches the Rfam family "Bacterial small subunit ribosomal RNA", at positions 35 to 799 of the family's 1533-position model. The record is from RNAcentral. Lineage: Bacteria; Bacillati; Cyanobacteriota.
GCUGGCGGUAUGCCUUACACAUGCAAGUCGUACGAGAGUUUUUAACUCUAGUGGCGGACGGGUGAGUAACACGUAAGAAUUUGCCUUUAGGAGGGGGACAACAACUGGAAACGGUUGCUAAUACCCCAUAUGCUUUCGAGUGAAAUGGAUUUCCGCCUAAAGAGAAGCUUGCGGCUGAUUAGCUUGUUGGUGAGGUAAUGGCUCACCAAGGCGACGAUCAGUAUCUGGUUUGAGAGGACGAUCAGACACACUGGAACUGAGACACGGUCCAGACUCCUACGGGAGGCAGCAGUGGGGAAUUUUCCGCAAUGGGCGAAAGCCUGACGGAGCAAUACCGCGUGAGGGAUGACGGCCUAUGGGUUGUAAACCUCUUUUUUCAGGGAGGAAUCAAUGACGUGUACCUGAAGAAUAAGCAUCGGCUAACUCCGUGCCAGCAGCCGCGGUAAGACGGAGGAUGCAAGUGUUAUCCGGAAUCACUGGGCGUAAAGCGUCUGUAGGUGGUCAAAUAAGUCAACUGUUAAAUCUUGAGGCUCAACCUCAAAAUCGCAGUCGAAACUAUUCGACUAGAGUAUAGUAGGGGUAAAGGGAAUUUCCAGUGGAGCGGUGAAAUGCGUAGAGAUUGGAAGGAACACCGAUGGCGAAGGCACUUUACUGGGCUAUUACUAACACUCAGAGACGAAAGCUAGGGUAGCAAAUGGGAUUAGAUACCCCCAGUAGUCCUAG